This 468-nucleotide ribosomal RNA is filed under the name uncultured bacterium. RNAcentral's name for it is "partial 16S ribosomal RNA". It matches the Rfam family "Bacterial small subunit ribosomal RNA", at positions 28 to 507 of the family's 1533-position model. The record is from RNAcentral.
GAUGAACGCUGGCGGCGUGCUUAACACAUGCAAGUCGAACGGAAAGGCCAUGCUUUUGUGGGGUGCUCGAGUGGCGAACAGGUGAGUAACACGUGAGUAACCUGCCCUUGAAUUUGGGAUAACUUCAGGAAAAUGGGGAUAAUACCGGAUAGGAGCUACUGCAGCAUGGUGGGGGUUGGAAAGUUUCGGCGGUUGGGGAUGGACUAGCGGCUUAUGAGCUGGUUGGUGGGGUAGGGGAUUACAAAGGCUAUGAGGGGUAGCCGGCCUGAGAGGGUGGCCGGCGACAUGAGGACUGCGAUACGGCGCAGACUCCUACGGGAGGCAGCAGUGGGGAGUAUUGCACAAUGGGCGGAAGCCUGAUGCGGCGGCGCCGCGUGCGGGAUGACGGCCUUCUGGUUGUAAACCGCUUUCGCCUGUGACGAAGCGUUAGUGACGGUAAUUGGUAAAGAAGCACCGGCUAACUACGUG